CUAAUUCCCGCCAAAUUUCAAAGGGUUGUUUCAGACUGAGCCAAGCAAAGCAGAAAGGAAGAGGCCCUUGAAGGGACUGAAGCAGAAAGGGAAAGACAGAGAAGGGGAGAAUGAGUGCUCUAUAAAAGGUGGAUUCCCCACUACAAAGUUAAAAGCUUGAGAGCCUUCAUUCAACAGCUGGUGGAAGUAGAAGCCGACACCCACAGCUAAACACUGAACUGAACUGGAAUCCAGUUGCAGAGAAGGACGAAUGAAGAGCAAAGGGGUCAAGACCAAGCUGGUGAAACCUACAGAAACAGCUGACCUGAACAGGGGGAGCUCAUGGCCCCCAGACAGAUCACUGGGAAACCAGCAUAGGACUGAUCCAGACCCCAUGAAUGUGGGUGUCAGUGAGGAGGCCUUGGAAAUCUAUGGGGCUUCUUGUAGUGAAUCAGUACUUAUCCCUAGGAUAGGAAUGGACUUUGGGAACCCAUCCAACAUGGAGGGAUACUCCCUGAGCCAAGACACAUGGGGGAGGGCCUAGGCCCUAUCCCAAAGGAUAGGAGAGACUCUGAAGCCCCCUAUGAAAGGCCUCACCCUCCCUGGGGAGCAGAAAGGGUAUGGGAUAGGUAGGGUGUUGGGGG
RNAcentral lists this long non-coding RNA (623 nucleotides) under Cricetulus griseus (Chinese hamster). RNAcentral describes it as "lncRNA (ENSCGRG00015039965.1)". Lineage: Eukaryota; Metazoa; Chordata; Mammalia; Rodentia; Cricetidae. The record is from RNAcentral.